RNAcentral lists this ribosomal RNA (497 nucleotides) under uncultured bacterium. Its description in RNAcentral is "partial 16S ribosomal RNA". It matches the Rfam family "Bacterial small subunit ribosomal RNA", at positions 28 to 507 of the family's 1533-position model. The record is from RNAcentral.
GAUGAACGCUGGCGGCGUGCCUAAUACAUACAAGUCGAGCGAACAGACGAGGAGCUUGCUCCUCUGAUGUUAGCGGCGGACGGGUGAGUAACACGUGGAUAACCUACCUAUAAGACUGGGAUAACUUCGGGAAACCGGAGCUAAUACCGGAUAACAUGUUGAACCGCAUGGUUCAACAGUGAAAGACGGUCUUGCUGUCACUUAUAGAUGGAUCCGCGCCGCAUUAGCUAGUUGGUAAGGUAACGGCUUACCAAGGCAACGAUGCGUAGCCGACCUGAGAGGGUGAUCGGCCACACUGGAACUGAGACACGGUCCAGACUCCUACGGGAGGCGGCAGUAGGGAAUCUUCCGCAAUGGGCGAAAGCCUGACGGAGCAACGCCGCGUGAGUGAAGAAGGUCUUCGGAUCGUAAAACUCUGUUAUUAGGGAAGAACAAAUGUGUAAGUAACUAUGCACGUCUUGACGGUACCUAAUCAGAAAGCCACGGCUAACUACGUG